AGAGUUUGAAACCAUGACUCAAAGCUUGGCCAAAGUGAGACAGAGAGUAAAUGGUAGAGACAGCACCAGGAUGCCCUUCUGUGACAUCACUCUGGCCAUCCCAACAGAGCCUGCGGCUGGUUCACACAGUUCACACAGGCGAGAGGGCACCAAGCUCUUCUCCUCCAAUCUUCAGAUCUCUGAAGCUUAGCGUGGCCAGCUGAAGAAAUGGAAGAAGUUCAAGGAAGAUGCCUUAAGUCAGAGAGAGACAUUUAUCUUCUGAUAAGAAGUUAUCUUGACCACCUUAUGAAGGCAGGUGCUCAGGAAGAUGGCCUACUCCUCCAGAAUAGUCAAGGAAAUAUUCUGUGGCAGAUUGGUCCAUUGAAGAGGUCGUCCUGGGUCUCCUUGAAGCACAGAACAAGGAUAUGUGAGCACAUAUAUCUAGAGAUUGUGUCAAUAUUCAAAGUCUCUGGAUGCUCGAAGACUGUGAUUCAAUCUCAGACAUUGUUCAUCCCCAGCAUGCUUUCCAGGAGUUUCUGGUGUUGGUCCUAGCUGCAAUUAGCUCUGUAACCAUAUUAUGUCUUUGACAGAUGCGUGGUCCUUGGCUUUCUCAUCUCCAAAAUGAAGUUAAAAAAAAUAGUAUCAUUAGCGUUUGCUACAAUACGGGGUUUGGAGUCUUCUUGAUGUACAGGGCAAAGGCUGCUUACUUCCCCAGCUCUUUAGUGUUCCACAUGAAUAAGGGACCACACAGAGAAUGAGAUGGUGGUCCCAAAUGGGAGUAUGAGAAAGAGAGGGGAAGAAUACUCAAGGUUCCUAUA
Molecule: non-coding RNA, 797 nt
Organism: Myodes glareolus (Bank vole)
Lineage: Eukaryota; Metazoa; Chordata; Mammalia; Rodentia; Cricetidae
Source: RefSeq, a predicted model, not a curated record